GGCAAAACAGAUAAGGGCAGACGGUGGAUGCCUAGGCUCUCGGAGGCGAAGAAGGACGUGAUAAGCUGCGAUAAGCUGUGGGGAUCGGCACAUACGAAUUGAUCCGCAGAUUUCCGAAUGGGGCAACCCAGUACAUUGAAGAUGUACUACACCGCAGAGCGGUGAGCGAACGUGGGGAACUGAAACAUCUAAGUACCCAUAGGAGAAGAAAACAAAAGUGAUUCCCUUAGUAGUGGCGAGCGAACGGGGAUUAGCCCAAACCAAUAAUGUUUCGGCAUUAUUGGGGUUGUAGGACUACGAUAUGGACUUAUAUUUGAUAGAGGAAUGACUUGGAAUGGUCAAUCAUAGAGGGUGAUAAUCCCGUACUCGACAUUGAAUUUAUACCUAGUAGUAUCCUGAGUAGCGCGGGACACGAGUAAUCCUGUGUGAAUCUGGCGGGCCCAUCCGCUAAGGCUAAAUACUCCCGAGAGACCGAUAGUGAACCAGUACCGUGAGGGAAAGGUGAAAAGAACCUCGAACAGAGGAGUGCAAUAGACCCUGAACCCGUCUGCCUACAAGCGGUAGGAGCAUCAUUAUGGUGUGACUGCGUGCCUUUUGCAUAAUGAACCUACGAGUUACUCAUUCUGGCGAGGUUAAGUGAUAUUAGUCAUGGAACCGAAGCGAAAGCGAGUCUUAAAUGGCGGCCAGUCAGGGUGAGUAGACGCGAAACCAAGUGAUCUACCCUUGGUCAGGUUGAAGGUUAGGUAAAACUAACUGGAGGACCGAACCGUUAAGCGUUGAAAAGCUUCCGGAUGAACUGAGGGUAGGGGUGAAAGGCUAAUCAAACUUGGAGAUAGCUCGUACUCCCCGAAAUGCAUUUAGGUGCAGCCUCGGGAGUUUCUUAUACGAGGUAGAGCGACUGAUUGGAUGCGAGGCUUUCACCGGCUAUCAAGUCCAGACAAACUCCGAAUGCGUAUAAGUUAUAUCCCGGGAGUGAGGGCAUGGGUGCUAAGGUCCAUGUCCGAGAGGAGAAUAAUCCAGACCAUCGGCUAAGGUCCCGAAAUAAUAGCUAAGUUGAAUAAACGAAGUCAAGGUGCUAAGACAGCUAGGAUGUUGGCUUGGAAGCAGCCAUUCAUUUAAAGAGUGCGUAACAGCUCACUAGUCGAGUGCUUUGGCGUGGAUAAUAAUCGGGCAUAAGCUAUUUACCGAAGCUGUGGGAUAUUUAAUAUAUCGGUAGGGGAGCAUUCCAACGACGUUGAAGGUGAGGGGACAACCCUUUUUGGAGUUUUUGGAAAAGCAAAUGUAGGUAUAAGUAACGAUAAAGGAGGUGCGAAACCUCCUCGCCGAAAGACUAAGGGUUCCUGAUCAACGCUAAUCGGAUCAGGGUUAGUCGGGACCUAAGGGAUAGCCGAACGGCGUACCCGAUGGAUGAACCGGUUAAUAUUCCGGUACUAAUUAUACGAGCGAUGUGGUGACGGAGAAGUGGCAGUCCUGCCAGCUGACGGAAUAGCUGGUUGAAGGGUGUAGACGUUGAUCGAGGUAGGCAAAUCCGCCUUGAGAGUCGAACCUGAAAGUACUCUAAGUGCUUGCACGAGGAGAUAUGGACGUAAUCAGACUCCCUAGAAAACCCGCUAAGCAUAUUGUAUAAUUACCCGUACUCUAAACCGACACAGGUGGUUGGGUUGAGUAUACUAAGGCGCUCGAGUGAUUCGCGGUUAAGGAACUAGGCAAAAUAGUCCUGUAACUUCGGGAGAAAGGACGCUCUCAGUAAUGGGAGCCGCAGAGAAUAGGCCCAGGCGACUGUUUAACAAAAACACAUGGCUGUGCGAAAUAGCAAUAUGCAGUAUACAGCCUGACACCUGCCCGGUGCUGGAAGGUUAAGAGGAGAUGUCAUCGCAAGAGAAGCAUUGAAUUGAAGCCCCAGUAAACGGCGGCCGUAACUAUAACGGUCCUAAGGUAGCGAAAUUCCUUGUCGGGUAAGUUCCGACCUGCACGAAUGGUGUAACGAUCUGGGCACUGUCUCAACCGCGAGCUCGGUGAAAUUGUAGUAUCGGUGAAGAUGCCGAUUACCCGCAACGGGACGAAAAGACCCCGUGAACCUUUACUAUAGCUUUGCAUUGAAUUUGGAUAACAGAUGUGUAGGAUAGGCCGGAGACUAAGAAGCGGGUACGCCAGUAUUCGUGGAGUCGCUGUUGAAAUACGGCCCUUUUGUUAUUUGGGUUCUAACUCGCAAGAGUGAGGACACUGCAUGGUGGGUAGUUUGACUGGGGUGGUCGCCUCCAAAAGCGUAACGGAGGCUUCUAAAGGUACCCUCAGGCCGAUUGGUAACCGGUCGUAGAGUGUAAUGGCACAAGGGUGCUUGACUGGGAGACAAACAAGUCGCACAGGUAGGAAACUAGAGCAUAGUGAUCCGGUGGUUCCGUAUGGAAGGGCCAUCGCUCAAAGGAUAAAAGGUACUCCGGGGAUAACAGGCUGAUCGCUCCCAAGAGCUCAUAUCGACGGAGCGGUUUGGCACCUCGAUGUCGGCUCGUCACAUCCUGGGGCUGGAGAAGGUCCCAAGGGUUGGGCUGUUCGCCCAUUAAAGUGGCACGCGAGCUGGGUUCAGAACGUCGUGAGACAGUUCGGUCUCUAUCUGUUGUGGGCGUUAGAAAUUUGCGAGGGGCUGACACUAGUACGAGAGGACCGUGUUGGACGGACCGCUGGUCUAUCGGUUGUACCGCCAGGUGCACUGCCGAGUAGCUACGUUCGGAGGAGAUAAGUGCUGAAAGCAUCUAAGUACGAAGCUCACCUCAAGAUUAGAUUUCUUCAUAAGGGUGGUUAUAGACUAUGACCUCGAUAGGCUACAGGUGUAAAGGCAGUGAUGUCAUAGCCGAGUAGUACUAAUAGCCCGAAAGUUUUGUGCU
Porphyromonas sp. is the source of this 2882-nucleotide ribosomal RNA. It matches the Rfam family "Bacterial large subunit ribosomal RNA". NCBI's taxonomy places the organism in Bacteria, Pseudomonadati, Bacteroidota, Bacteroidia, Bacteroidales, Porphyromonadaceae. The record is from Rfam.